AUGAUUUAUGGGAUGUUGUAAAAUCCUUACUCGGAUAACUGUGGUAAUUCUAGAGCUAAUACGUGCAACUAGUCUCCGACCCCGGCCUCGCGAGAGGUCGGGGGAAGGGCGCAUUUAUUAGACCAAAAACCGGGCGGACGUUCGGGGCAAUCUCCGCUUCGCGCGGCAGCAUUCGUCCUCGUCCAAUCCUGUACGGUUUCGUGGUGACUCUGAAUAACUACCGCCGAGCGCUGAGGUCUUAGUACCGGCGCCGUAUCCUUCAAGUGUCUGCCUUAUCAGCUCUCGAUUGUAGGUUAUUCGCCUACAAUGGCUGUAACGGGUAACGGGGAAUCAGGGUUCGAUUCCGGAGAGGGAGCCUGAGAAACGGCUACCACAUCUAAGGAAGGCAGCAGGCACGCAAAUUACCCAAUCCCGGCUCGGGGAGGUAGUGACGAAAAAUAACGAUGCGGGACUCUUCCGAGGCCUCGCAAUCGGAAUGAGUUCAAUGUAAAAACUUGGACGAGGAUCCAUUGGAGGGCAAGUCUGGUGCCAGCAGCCGCGGUAAUUCCAGCUCCAAUAGCGUAUAUUAAAGUU
This 573-nucleotide ribosomal RNA is filed under the name Niambia sp. 2 MJ-2015. RNAcentral describes it as "bacterial SSU rRNA". It matches the Rfam family "Eukaryotic small subunit ribosomal RNA", at positions 112 to 611 of the family's 1831-position model. The record is from RNAcentral. Lineage: Eukaryota; Metazoa; Arthropoda; Malacostraca; Isopoda; Platyarthridae.